AUAACAAAAAAAAACAUCUAACUAUCUCUUCAAAGCAAGUUUUGGACAUACCACACAAUUGCUUAGACUAGGUAGACUUGCUAUGAACAAUAAUCGUUUUUUAGAAAUAUGUUUGAAAUGUGUUGUACAGACCAGCAGAGGGCAAAAGUACCCUUUGAAAGUGUUGCUGCCUCACUCACACAACUUUAUAUUUCCCUCCUCUUCCCUGCCCUUCCUGUUUUGGCUAUGAUGACUGUGAAACCCCAUGAUAUUUUUAAUCAUACAAUAAAAUGCAAAAUCAGAUCAGCUGUUGGGAUGGAGGAGUAAAGGUGACAUGGUGGACUUCACUCCAAAUGGACAAUUUUGCAAAUGUAUCUUGUACAUUUUGAACAUCAGGCUCUUGGCAUAGUUAUUUUGUGGACAGAAGAAGCUAAAGACACUUAAAGAUUUCUACUCCUUCAAGGUGACUCCUGCACCAGCUGCUGCUGGUGGGGGAUCUGCAUUUGUUUGUGCACAAGACUCAAAUGAUGAAAUGCUUCCCGGCUCAUCCAGAAGCAGGACGGGAGGUGGGCAUCCUUCCUGCAGCAUAACAGAAAGUUGUUUUUUGCCAGACAUGGGACUCAAGUCAGUUACUCCGUGUCUUAAGUUGCAAGUCAUUAAAACAGUGAUCUGAGUCCUCCCAAAUCAACAGAGUUGUACGUGUGACAGACAGAGUCCCCCAUAUUGCGUAGGAGGUGAAACGUGGGCUUUGACUGGAGGAGUCUACAAACAAAUGAGUCACCGUGUUGAGACAGUUGAGGAGCACAUCCUUCUGCAGGCCACAUCUGUUGACCUCUUCACUGAGCCAAGCUGGACCAUAAGA
Molecule: long non-coding RNA, 841 nt
Organism: Acanthopagrus latus (yellowfin seabream)
Lineage: Eukaryota; Metazoa; Chordata; Actinopteri; Spariformes; Sparidae
Exons: 3
Source: RefSeq, a predicted model, not a curated record